This 423-nucleotide ribosomal RNA is filed under the name Triticum aestivum (bread wheat). Its description in RNAcentral is "partial small subunit ribosomal RNA". The record is from RNAcentral. Lineage: Eukaryota; Viridiplantae; Streptophyta; Magnoliopsida; Poales; Poaceae.
AUGACAUGCUUGAGCUGGAACUGCCGGGGGCUUGGGAACCCCGAGGCAGUUCGCGAGCUUCGUAGUAUAGUGAAGCUAGAAGGACCCACUCUUCUCUUUGUGAUGGAAACGAAAAUUCAAGCUAAAAGAGUUGAGGCAUUGAAGUAUACUCUCGGUUUUGGAGGGUGUUUUGCAGUAGACAGUGCCGGCUUAAGUGGUGGCAUUGGUCUGUUUUGGUCACGUGAUGUGAAUGUCGAGCUAAAAAAUUUCAGCAAGUGUCACAUUGAUGUGGUGGUUCACGGCAACAAUCAGAGUUCUUCGGUAUGGAGGUUCACUGGUUUUUAUGGGGCGCCAAGAGCUUCAGAUCGUGGUGAAAGCUGGCAGCUCCUGCACACUCUUUUUUUCUAUACCACAUACAGCAUGGUUCUGUAUGGGGGAUUUUAA